Molecule: ribosomal RNA, 465 nt
Filed under: uncultured bacterium
Lineage: Bacteria
Description: partial 16S ribosomal RNA
Rfam family: Bacterial small subunit ribosomal RNA
Source: RNAcentral
CCUACGGGAGGCAGCAGUAGGGAAUCUUCCACAAUGGGCGAAAGCCUGAUGGAGCAACGCCGCGUGGGUGAAGAAGGUCUUCGGAUCGUAAAACCCUGUUGUUAGAGAAGAAAGUGCGUGAGAGUAACUGUUCACGUUUCGACGGUAUCUAACCAGAAAGCCACGGCUAACUACGUGCCAGCAGCCGCGGUAAUACGUAGGUGGCAAGCGUUAUCCGGUUUUAUUGGGCGUAAAGGGAACGCAGGCGGUCUUUUAAGUCUGAUGUGAAAGCGUUCGGCUUAACCGGAGUAGUGCAUUGGAAACUGGGAGACUUGAGUGCAGAAGAGGAGAGUGGAACUCCAUGUGUAGCGGUGAAAUGCGUAGAUAUAUGGAAGAACACCAGUGGCGAAGGCGGCUCUCUGGUCUGUAACUGACGCUGAGGUUCGAAAGCGUGGGUAGCAAACAGGAUUAGAUACCCGAGUAGUC